This 423-nucleotide ribosomal RNA is filed under the name uncultured eukaryote. Its description in RNAcentral is "bacterial SSU rRNA". It matches the Rfam family "Eukaryotic small subunit ribosomal RNA", at positions 592 to 1017 of the family's 1831-position model. The record is from RNAcentral.
CAAUAGCGUAUACUAACGUUGUUGCAGUUAAAAGCUCGUAGUUGGAUUUCUGUUACGGUGAGUCGGCCGGCUCUUCGGAGUUGUAGCUAGAUUUCAUUGUAGCAUCUUGACGUAAUUACCACUGGCAUUCAUUUGUUGGUGUGUAGGACCGUCUCGUUUACUUUGAGAAAAUUAGAGUGUUCAAAGCGGGCUAUCGCCUUGAAUAUAUUAGCAUGGAAUAAUAAUAUAGGACUUUUGGUUCUAUUUUGUUGGCGUUCGAGAACCAAAGUAAUGAUUGAUAGGGACAGUUGGGGGCAUCAGUAUUCUGAAGCGAGAGGUGAAAUUCUUGGACCUUCGGAAGACUAACAGCUGCGAAAGCGUUUGCCUAGGAUGUUCUCUUUAAUCAAGAACGAAGGUUGGGGGAUCGAAGACGAUUAGAUACCA